Molecule: ribosomal RNA, 494 nt
Filed under: uncultured bacterium
Lineage: Bacteria
Description: partial 16S ribosomal RNA
Rfam family: Bacterial small subunit ribosomal RNA
Source: RNAcentral
GACGAACGCUGGCGGCGCGCUUAACACAUGCAAGUCGAACGGAAAGGCCUGCUUUCCCUUGUGGAUUGCGGGUACUCGAGUGGCGAACGGGUGAGUAACACGUGAGUGAUCUGCCCCCAACUUGGGUAUAAGCCUGGGAAACUGGGUCUAAUUCCCGAUAGGACUGCAGGGUGGUGCCUUUGGUGGAAAACGAUUUUCUAGUGGUUGGGGAUGAGCUCGCGGCCUAUCAGCUUGUUGGGGGGGUAAUGGCCUACCAAGGCGGCGACGGGUAGCCGGCCUGGGAGGGUGGACGGCCAAAUGGGGACUGAGAGACGGCCCAGACUCCUACGGGAGGCAGCAGUGGGGAAUAUUGGACAAUGGGCGGAAGCCUGAUGCAGCGACGCAGCGUGGGGGAUGACGGCCUUCGGGUUGUAAACUCCUUUCGACCGCGAGGAAGCCACCUGGUUGGGAGGGUGGUGACGGUAGUGGUAGAAGAAGCACCGGCUAACUACGUG